GUCGAGAAUCUUUCACAAUGGGGGCAACCCUGAUGGAGCGACGCCGCGUGGAGGAUAAGGUCUUCGGAUUGUAAACUCCUGUCAUGCGUGAACAAGGUUGCUUGGUUAAUACCUGGGCAAAUUGAUGGUAACGCAAGAGGAAGAGACGGCUAACUCUGUGCCAGCAGCCGCGGUAAUACAGAGGUCUCAAGCGUUGUUCGGGAUCACUGGGCGUAAAGGGUGCGUAGGUGGCGUGGUAAGUCAGAUGUGAAAGCCCGGGGCUCAACCUCGGAACUGCAUCCGAUACUGCCAUGCUAGAGUACUGGAGAGGUGACUAGAAUUCUCGGUGUAGCAGUGAAAUGCGUAGAUAUCGAGAGGAAUACCAAAGGCGUAGGCAGGUCACUGGACAGUUACUGACACUGAGGCACGAAGGCCAGGGGAGCGAACGGGAUUAGAAACCCGAGUAGUCC
RNAcentral lists this ribosomal RNA (449 nucleotides) under uncultured bacterium. RNAcentral describes it as "partial 16S ribosomal RNA". It matches the Rfam family "Bacterial small subunit ribosomal RNA", at positions 354 to 796 of the family's 1533-position model. The record is from RNAcentral.